CGAAACUUGCCCCGAGAUGAGUUCUCCCUGAGACUUUAGGUCUCCUGAAGGAACGUUGAAGACGACGACGUUGAUAGGCCGGGUGUGUAAGCGCAGCGAUGCGUUGAGCUAACCGGUACUAAUGAACAGGCGGAAAUUC
This 139-nucleotide ribosomal RNA is filed under the name Salmonella enterica subsp. enterica serovar Montevideo. RNAcentral describes it as "partial 23S ribosomal RNA". It matches the Rfam family "Bacterial large subunit ribosomal RNA", at positions 2788 to 2925 of the family's 2925-position model. The record is from RNAcentral. Lineage: Bacteria; Pseudomonadati; Pseudomonadota; Gammaproteobacteria; Enterobacterales; Enterobacteriaceae.